GAUCGUGCCGUACUCCCGGUAGAAAAUUCUCUAGGAGGUUCAAUUCACCGCAACUACGAUCUCCUCCUGCGUCACCGCCUCCAUAUCGUCGGCGAGGUCCAGCUCCCCGUCCACCAUUGCCUCUUAGCUCUUCCAGGCGUUCGUAAAGAGUACCUAACCAGAGUUAUAAGCCAUCCACAAGCCUUAGCCCAAUGCGAGCUCACUCUCACAAAACUCGGCCUCAACGUAUCUCGUGAAGCCGUCGACGAUACAGCGGGAGCAGCGGAAUACAUCGCCGCUAACAAUCUCCGGGAUACAGCGGCAAUCGCUUCCGCACGCGCCGCCGAACUGUACGGUCUACAGAUUCUAGCGGAGGGAAUCCAGGACGAUUCAAGCAACGUGACUCGGUUCGUGAUGUUAGCGAGAGACCCGAUAAUACCACGAACAGACCGGCCAUUCAAAACGAGCAUAGUGUUGUCGGUGAAGUCCAGCUCCCCGUCCACCAUUGCCUCUUAGCUCUUCCAGGCGUUCGUAAAGAGUACCUCACCAGAGUUAUAAGCCAUCCACAAGCCUUAGCCCAGUGCGAGCUCACUCUCACAAAACUCGGCCUCAACGUAUCUCGUGAAGCCGUCGACGAUACCGCCGGAGCAGCGGAGUACAUCGCCGCCAACAAUCUCCGCG
RNAcentral lists this long non-coding RNA (660 nucleotides) under Nicotiana benthamiana. Its description in RNAcentral is "long non-coding RNA (NBEN_LNC027524)". Lineage: Eukaryota; Viridiplantae; Streptophyta; Magnoliopsida; Solanales; Solanaceae. The record is from RNAcentral.